This 1399-nucleotide ribosomal RNA is filed under the name metagenome. Its description in RNAcentral is "bacterial SSU rRNA". It matches the Rfam family "Archaeal small subunit ribosomal RNA". The record is from RNAcentral.
CAAGUCUGAAAAGUGUAUAUGGCACUUUUGGCACACGGCUCAGUAACACGUAGCCAACCUGCCCUUUAGAGGUGUUAAACCCGCGAGAGUGGGCAUAAUGCACCGUAGCUGAAAAAUACUGGAAUGUUUUUUUGGCAAUAAGCAUUUCACUCCAAGUGAUAAUGCGCUAAAGGAUGGGGCUGCGGCGGAUUAGGUCGUUGGCGGGGUAACUGCCCACCAAGCCGUUGAUCCGUACGGGUCCUGAGAGGGAUAGCCCGGAGAAGGGAACUGAGAUAAGGUCCCUAGCCCUACGGGGUGCAGCAGUCGAGAAACCUUUACAAUGCGCGAAAGCGUGAUAGGGGAAUUUCGAGUGCUAUCUUUGAUAGCUUUUGCCAAGCCUAAAUAGCUUGGUGAAUAAGUGGAGGGUAAGAUACGUGCCAGCCGCCGCGGUAAUACGUACUCCACAAGUGGUAUCCACUAAUAUUGGGCUUAAAGCGUUUGUAGCCGGUUUUGUUAGUCCUUGGUGAAAGCAAACAGCUUAACUGUUUGAAUUGCCAAGGAUACUGCAAGGCUCGAGGCUGGGAGACGUCAAUGGAACUUCUGGGGUAACGGUGAAAUGUUGUGAUCCCAGAAAGACCACCAGUAGCGAAGGCGAUUGACGAGAACAGUCCUGACGGUGAGAGACGAAAGUUGGGGGAGCGACCCGGAUUAGAUACCCGGUUAGUCCCAACUGUAAACGAUGCAGACUAGGUGUCCUAGUACCCACGUGGUACGGGGGUGCCGUCGCGAAAGCAUUUAGUCUGCCGCCUGGGAAGUACGAUCGCAAGAUUGAAACUUAAUGGAAUUGGCGGGGACGCACUACAAGGGGUGGAUGCUGCGGUUUAAUUGGAUACAACGCCAGAUAAUUCACCAGGGGCGACAGCAGAAUGAUGCACAGUCCAAAGGGCUUUGCUGACACGCUGAGAGGUGUUGUAUGGUCAUCGUCAGCUCGUACUAUAAAGCGUCCUGUCAACUCAGGCAACGGGCGAGACCCACGCUCAUAGUUGCAAUUAUCCGGUUUCGGGUGAGCACUCUAUGAGGACAGCUAGAGCAAUCUAGAGGAAGGAGUGGGCCACGGUAGAUCUGUACGGCCCGAAUCUCCUGGGCAACACGCGGCAUACAAUGGUUAAGACAAUGAGAUCCUAGCCCGAAAGGGUACGGAAAUCCCUUAAACUUAACCUUAGUUCGGAUCGAGGUCUGUAACUCGGCCUCGUGAAAUUGGAAUCCCCAGUAAUCGCGUGUCAUAAUCGCGCGGUGAAUAAGUCCCUGCGUCUUGCACACACCGCCCAUCAAGCCAGUCGAGUAGAGUUCUGAUGAGCUUUGGUCUUCUAGAUUAAAGCAAUUCUGCGCUUUGUGAGACGGGCUAAGUUGUAACAAGGUG